This 646-nucleotide ribosomal RNA is filed under the name Trichosporon asahii. Its description in RNAcentral is "eukaryotic LSU rRNA". It matches the Rfam family "Eukaryotic large subunit ribosomal RNA", at positions 36 to 670 of the family's 3401-position model. Lineage: Eukaryota; Fungi; Basidiomycota; Tremellomycetes; Trichosporonales; Trichosporonaceae. The record is from RNAcentral.
AUUGCAUAUCAAUAAGCGGAGGAAAAGAAACUAACAAGGAUUCCCCUAGUAACGGCGAGUGAAGCGGGAAGAGCUCAAAUUUGAAAUCUGGCAGUCUUCGAUUGUCCGAGUUGUAAUCUAUAGAGGCGUUUUCCGUGCCGGACCGUGUCCAAGUCUCCUGGAAAGGAGUAUCAAAGAGGGUGAUAAUCCCGUACUUAACACGACCACCGGUGCUCUGUGAUACGUCUUCUACGAGUCGAGUUGUUUGGGAAUGCAGCUCAAAAUGGGUGGUGAAUUCCAUCUAAAGCUAAAUAUUGGCGAGAGACCGAUAGCGAACAAGUACCGUGAGGGAAAGAUGAAAAGCACUUUGGAAAGAGAGUUAAACAGUACGUGAAAUUGUUGAAAGGGAAACGAUUGAAGUCAGUCGUGUUCUUUGGAUUCAGCCAGUUCUGCUGGUCUACUUCCUUGGAACGGGUCAACAUCAGUUUUGUCCGGUGGAUAAAGGUAGUAGGAAUGUGACUUCUCCGGAAGUGUUAUAGCCUAUUAUCACAUACACUGGGUGAGACUGAGGACUGCAGCUCGCCUUUAUGGCCGGCCUUCGGGCACGUUCGAGCUUAGGAUGUUGACAUAAUGGCUUUAAACGACCCGUCUUGAAACACGGACCAAU